This 223-nucleotide ribosomal RNA is filed under the name Escherichia coli. RNAcentral describes it as "partial 23S ribosomal RNA". It matches the Rfam family "Bacterial large subunit ribosomal RNA", at positions 104 to 364 of the family's 2925-position model. The record is from RNAcentral. Lineage: Bacteria; Pseudomonadati; Pseudomonadota; Gammaproteobacteria; Enterobacterales; Enterobacteriaceae.
CCGGCGAUUUCCGAAUGGGGAAACCCAGUGUGUUUCGACACACUAUCAUUAACUGAAUCCAUAGGUUAAUGAGGCGAACCGGGGGAACUGAAACAUCUAAGUACCCCGAGGAAAAGAAAUCAACCGAGAUUCCCCCAGUAGCGGCGAGCGAACGGGGAGGAGCCCAGAGCCUGAAUCAGUGUGUGUGUUAGUGGAAGCGUCUGGAAAGGCGCGCGAUACAGGG